RNAcentral lists this transfer RNA (77 nucleotides) under Clostridia bacterium. RNAcentral describes it as "tRNA-Arg". It matches the Rfam family "tRNA". From Rfam's summary of the family: Transfer RNA (tRNA) molecules are approximately 80 nucleotides in length. Their secondary structure includes four short double-helical elements and three loops (D, anti-codon, and T loops). Further hydrogen bonds mediate the characteristic L-shaped molecular structure. tRNAs have two regions of fundamental functional importance: the anti-codon, which is responsible for specific mRNA codon recognition, and the 3' end, to which the tRNAs corresponding amino acid is attached (by aminoacyl-tRNA synthetases). tRNAs cope with the degeneracy of the genetic code in two manners: having more than one tRNA (with a specific anti-codon) for a particular amino acid; and 'wobble' base-pairing, i.e. permitting non-standard base-pairing at the 3rd anti-codon position. The record is from RNAcentral. Lineage: Bacteria; Bacillati; Bacillota; Clostridia.
GUGUGAGUAGCUCAGUAGGAUAGAGCGACGGUUUCCUAAACCGCAGGUCGCAGGUUCGAUUCCUGUCUCGCACACCA